Molecule: ribosomal RNA, 489 nt
Filed under: uncultured bacterium
Lineage: Bacteria
Description: partial 16S ribosomal RNA
Rfam family: Bacterial small subunit ribosomal RNA
Source: RNAcentral
UUGAACGCUGGUGGCAGGCUUAACACCUGCAAGUCGAACGGUAACAGGAAUUAGCUUGCUAAUUUGCUGACGAGUGGCGGACGGGUGAGUAAUGCUUGGGAAUCUGGCUUAUGGAGGGGGAUAACUACGGGAAACUGUAGCUAAUACCGCGUAAAAUCUUCGGAUUAAAGGGUGGGACUUUCGAGCCACCUGCCAUAAGAUGAGCCCAAGUGGGAUUAGGUAGUUGGUUAGGUAAAGGCUGACCAAGCCGACGAUCUCUAGCUGGUCUGAGAGGAUGACCAGCCACACUGGAACUGAGACACGGUCCAGACUCCUACGGGAGGCAGCAGUGGGGAAUAUUGCACAAUGGGGGGAACCCUGAUGCAGCCAUGCCGCGUGAAUGAAGAAGGCCUUCGGGUUGUAAAGUUCUUUCGGUGACGAGGAAGGUUGAUAGGUUAAUAGCCUAUCAAAUUGACGUUAAUCACAGAAGAAGCACCGGCUAACUCCGUG